AUCCAGCUGACGAGUCCUAAAUAGGACGAAACGCGCGUCCUGGAU
This is a non-coding RNA of Schistosoma mattheei, 45 nucleotides long. Lineage: Eukaryota; Metazoa; Platyhelminthes; Trematoda; Strigeidida; Schistosomatidae. The record is from Rfam.